Molecule: ribosomal RNA, 339 nt
Filed under: Triticum aestivum (bread wheat)
Lineage: Eukaryota; Viridiplantae; Streptophyta; Magnoliopsida; Poales; Poaceae
Description: partial small subunit ribosomal RNA
Source: RNAcentral
AUGGGAAGGGAAGGGGAGGGGAGGCCCCAGAUCAAGCGGAGCGACACAGCGGCACCGGCACGGGUGCGCCGUCGUCUACCUGGUCCUCGAACCGGCCGUUCCCCUACUGACCAUGGCCUCCUCCCCCUCUCUCUGUAUCUCCCACACGGCGGCGCGGUGCAACCGGCGACGAUGGCUUUCUGGCAGGCACGCCACUUCCUGUUUUGCGGCGUGUGCGGCACCCUCCUCGACUUCAACUCCCAAGCAUCCUUGUGUGUUGUGUCUGAAAAUCCCGUGGCUAAUGCAAGACAUGCCCCUUGUUUUCUCAAAAUCAAUGAAUGGUUCCAGGCAAAUAACUAG